UACAGAGGGUGCAAGCGUUAUUCGGAAUUAUUGGGCGUAAAGCGCACGUAGGCGGUCUUGUAAGUCUGGUGUGAAAUCCCUGAACUCAAUUCAGGAAGUGCAUUGGAUACUGCGAGACUAGAGAAUGGGAGAGGAGAGCGGAAUUCCUGGUGUAGAGGUGAAAUUCGUAGAUAUCAGGAGGAACAACAGAGGCGAAGGCGGCUCUCUGGACCAUUUCUGACGCUGAGGUGCGAAAGCGUGGGGAGCAAACAGG
This 253-nucleotide ribosomal RNA is filed under the name uncultured bacterium. Its description in RNAcentral is "partial 16S ribosomal RNA". It matches the Rfam family "Bacterial small subunit ribosomal RNA", at positions 524 to 776 of the family's 1533-position model. The record is from RNAcentral.